GACCGCGUAGCUCAACUGGCAGAGUAUUGGGCUAGUAUUCCAAAGGUCGUAGGUUCGAUUCCCACCGUGGCCA
This 73-nucleotide transfer RNA is filed under the name Paramuricea clavata. It matches the Rfam family "tRNA". Rfam says of the family: Transfer RNA (tRNA) molecules are approximately 80 nucleotides in length. Their secondary structure includes four short double-helical elements and three loops (D, anti-codon, and T loops). The record is from Rfam by way of RNAcentral. Lineage: Eukaryota; Metazoa; Cnidaria; Anthozoa; Malacalcyonacea; Plexauridae.